CCCUUAGAUGUUCUGGGCCGCACGCGUGCUACACUGAGUGGAUCAGCGGGUCAGGUUGCGCGAAAGUGUUUCCUAAUCUUGAAAUCCGCUCGUGAUGGGGAUUGACGGUUGCAAUUUUCCGUCAUGAACGAGGAAUACCUUGUAAGCGCGGGUCAUCAUCCCGCGCUGAAUACGUCCCUGCCCUUUGUACACACCGCCCGUCGCUCCUACCAAUUGAGUGGUCCGGUGAGGCUUUGGGAUCUGAGCGGAAAGAGCGUUUCGCUGUUUCUGCUCGGAAAACUCAGUCGAACCUUAUCAUUUAGAGGAAGGAGAAGUCGUAACA
This 322-nucleotide ribosomal RNA is filed under the name uncultured eukaryote. RNAcentral's name for it is "partial 18S ribosomal RNA". It matches the Rfam family "Eukaryotic small subunit ribosomal RNA", at positions 1470 to 1796 of the family's 1831-position model. The record is from RNAcentral.